CCUACGGGUGGCAGCAGGGGGGAAUAUUGCACAAUGGGGGAAACCCUGAUGCAGCGACGCCGCGGGAGUGAAGAAGUAAUUCGUUACGUAAAGCUCUAUCAGCAGGGAAGAAAAUGACGGUACCUGAGUAAGAAGCCCCGGCUAACUACGUGCCAGCAGCCGCGGUAAUACGUAGGGGGCAAGCGUUAUCCGGAUUUACUGGGGGUAAAGGGAGCGGCGAAGGGAUGGCAAGUCUGGAGUGAAAGGCGGGGGCUCAACCCCCGGACUGCUCUGGAAACUGUAAGGCUUGAGUGCAGGAGAGGUAAGUGGAAUUCCUUGUGUAGCGGUGAAAUGCGUAGAUAUUAGGAGGAACACCAGUGGCGAAGGCGGCUUACUGGACUGUAACUGACGUUGAGGCUCGAAAGCGUGGGGAGCAAACAGGAUUAGAUACCCCAGUAGUC
RNAcentral lists this ribosomal RNA (440 nucleotides) under uncultured bacterium. Its description in RNAcentral is "partial 16S ribosomal RNA". It matches the Rfam family "Bacterial small subunit ribosomal RNA", at positions 338 to 795 of the family's 1533-position model. The record is from RNAcentral.